RNAcentral lists this transfer RNA (67 nucleotides) under Panulirus ornatus. RNAcentral describes it as "tRNA-Phe". Lineage: Eukaryota; Metazoa; Arthropoda; Malacostraca; Decapoda; Palinuridae. The record is from RNAcentral.
ACUCGUAUAAUUUACAUUUAGAAUAUUGCAUUGAAGCUGCAAAAGAGGUUUAGUUUACCUGCGGGUG